Calypte anna (Anna's hummingbird) is the source of this 116-nucleotide long non-coding RNA. RefSeq lists it as uncharacterized. The transcript is spliced from 3 exons. The record is from RefSeq and is a predicted model, not a curated record. NCBI's taxonomy places the organism in Eukaryota, Metazoa, Chordata, Aves, Apodiformes, Trochilidae.
UCGAGGUGGAUAGAAGCCCCUUCUGGCAAGCCCUCCAGGAGCCCGUGGGCAGUACAAGCAGGAACUGGAUGAAUUUGUCUUUGAAGAACCUGGACAUGACAGUGAUGAACUUUAAA